RNAcentral lists this ribosomal RNA (468 nucleotides) under uncultured bacterium. RNAcentral describes it as "partial 16S ribosomal RNA". It matches the Rfam family "Bacterial small subunit ribosomal RNA", at positions 28 to 507 of the family's 1533-position model. The record is from RNAcentral.
GACGAACGCUGGCGGCGUGCUUAACACAUGCAAGUCGAGCGGAAAGGCCCUGCUUUUGUGGGGUGCUCGAGUGGCGAACGGGUGAGUAACACGUGAGUAACCUGCCCUUGACUUUGGGAUAACUUCAGGAAACUGGGGCUAAUACCGGAUAGGAGCUCCUGCUGCAUGGUGGGGGUUGGAAAGUUUCGGCGGUUGGGGAUGGACUCGCGGCUUAUCAGCUUGUUGGUGGGGUAGUGGCUUACCAAGGCUUUGACGGGUAGCCGGCCUGAGAGGGUGACCGGCCACAUUGGGACUGAGAUACGGCCCAGACUCCUACGGGAGGCAGCAGUGGGGAAUACUGCACAAUGGGCGGAAGCCUGAUGCAGCAACGCCGCGUGCGGGAUGACGGCCUUCGGGUUGUAAACCGCUUUCGCCUGUGACGAAGCGUGAGUGACGGUAAUGGGUAAAGAAGCACCGGCUAACUACGUG